This 757-nucleotide ribosomal RNA is filed under the name uncultured bacterium. RNAcentral's name for it is "bacterial SSU rRNA". It matches the Rfam family "Bacterial small subunit ribosomal RNA", at positions 28 to 776 of the family's 1533-position model. The record is from RNAcentral.
GAUGAACGCUCUCUACAGGCUUAACACAUGCAAGUCGAGGGGCAUCGUGAAGAAAGCUUGCUUUCUUUGCCGGCGACCGGCGCACGGGUGAGUAACACGUAUCCAACCUGCCCUUUACUCGGGGAUAGCCUUUCGAAAGAAAGAUUAAUACCCGAUAGCAUAAUGAUUCCGCAUGGUUUCAUUAUUAAAGGAUUCCGGUAAAGGAUGGGGAUGCGUUCCAUUAGGUUGUUGGUGGGGUAACGGCCCACCAAGCCUUCGAUGGAUAGGGGUUCUGAGAGGAAGGUCCCCCACAUUGGAACUGAGACACGGUCCAAACUCCUACGGGAGGCAGCAGUGAGGAAUAUUGGUCAAUGGGCGCUAGCCUGAACCAGCCAAGUAGCGUGAAGGAUGAAGGCUCUAUGGGUCGUAAACUUCUUUUAUAUAAGAAUAAAGUGCAGUAUGUAUACUGUUUUGUAUGUAUUAUAUGAAUAAGGAUCGGCUAACUCCGUGCCAGCAGCCGCGGUAAUACGGAGGAUCCGAGCGUUAUCCGGAUUUAUUGGGUUUAAAGGGAGCGUAGGUGGACUGGUAAGUCAGUUGUGAAAGUUUGCGGCUCAACCGUAAAAUUGCAGUUGAUACUGUCAGUCUUGAGUACAGUAGAGGUGGGCGGAAUUCGUGGUGUAGCGGUGAAAUGCUUAGAUAUCACGAAGAACUCCGAUUGCGAAAGCAGCUCACUGGACUGCAACUGACACUGAUGCUCGAAAUGUGGGUAUCAAACAGG